This 253-nucleotide ribosomal RNA is filed under the name uncultured bacterium. RNAcentral describes it as "partial 16S ribosomal RNA". It matches the Rfam family "Bacterial small subunit ribosomal RNA", at positions 524 to 776 of the family's 1533-position model. The record is from RNAcentral.
UACGUAGGGUGCAAGCGUUGUCCGGAAUUAUUGGGCGUAAAGAGCUCGUAGGCGGUCUGUCGCGUCGGCUGUGAAAACUCGGGGCUCAACUCCGAGCUUGCAGUCGAUACGGGCAGGCUAGAGUUCGGCAGGGGAGACUGGAAUUCCUGGUGUAGCGGUGAAAUGCGCAGAUAUCAGGAGGAACACCGGUGGCGAAGGCGGGUCCCUGGGCCGAUACUGACGCUGAGGAGCGAAAGCGUGGGGAGCGAACAGG